AGCAGCGUGGCUUAGUGGGUAGAGCACGGCCUGGGAGUCAGAAGGACCUGGGUUCUAAUCCCAGCUCUGCUA
This 72-nucleotide transfer RNA is filed under the name Ornithorhynchus anatinus (platypus). It matches the Rfam family "tRNA". Rfam says of the family: Transfer RNA (tRNA) molecules are approximately 80 nucleotides in length. Their secondary structure includes four short double-helical elements and three loops (D, anti-codon, and T loops). Further hydrogen bonds mediate the characteristic L-shaped molecular structure. tRNAs have two regions of fundamental functional importance: the anti-codon, which is responsible for specific mRNA codon recognition, and the 3' end, to which the tRNAs corresponding amino acid is attached (by aminoacyl-tRNA synthetases). tRNAs cope with the degeneracy of the genetic code in two manners: having more than one tRNA (with a specific anti-codon) for a particular amino acid; and 'wobble' base-pairing, i.e. permitting non-standard base-pairing at the 3rd anti-codon position. The record is from Rfam by way of RNAcentral. Lineage: Eukaryota; Metazoa; Chordata; Mammalia; Monotremata; Ornithorhynchidae.